This 242-nucleotide unclassified non-coding RNA is filed under the name Hevea brasiliensis (rubber tree). Lineage: Eukaryota; Viridiplantae; Streptophyta; Magnoliopsida; Malpighiales; Euphorbiaceae. The record is from RNAcentral.
AUUGGUUCCUAAGGAAUUUUAUCCAAUAAUUUUUCAAAUGAUAAACGUGAGGCUAUUGUAAUUGAUUGCAAAUAGUGGAUUGUAAGAGCAUAUAUGAACCUUCGAAUGAGUUGGUUGAUGAACAGAGGCUGUUUAGAUUAUCCAUCUAUUUUGUCUAAUCAAGCAUUUGUUCAUACAUAUCUGUUGGUCUGCCUGUACAGAACACAAAAAUGGAGAAAAUGAGAGGUAAAUACUCACUAAAU